RNAcentral lists this ribosomal RNA (465 nucleotides) under uncultured bacterium. RNAcentral's name for it is "partial 16S ribosomal RNA". It matches the Rfam family "Bacterial small subunit ribosomal RNA", at positions 28 to 507 of the family's 1533-position model. The record is from RNAcentral.
GACGAACGCUGGCGGCGUGCUUAACACAUGCAAGUCGAACGGAAAGGCCCUGCUUGCCGGGUACUCGAGUGGCGAACGGGUGAGUAACACGUGGGUGAUCUGCCCUGCACUUCGGGAUAAGCCUGGGAAACUGGGUCUAAUAGCGGAUAGGAGCCAUUUUUAGUGUGAUGGUUGGAAAGUUUUUUCGGUGUAGGAUGAGCUCGCGGCCUAUCAGCUUGUUGGUGGGGUAAUGGCCUACCAAGGCGGCGACGGGUAGCCGGCCUGAGAGGGUGGACGGCCACAUUGGGACUGAGAUACGGCCCAGACUCCUACGGGAGGCAGCAGUGGGGAAUAUUGCACAAUGGGCGCAAGCCUGAUGCAGCGACGCCGCGUGGGGGAUGACGGCCUUCGGGUUGUAAACUCCUUUCGCUAGGGACGAAGCUUUUUGUGACGGUACCUAGAUAAGAAGCACCGGCUAACUACGUG